Long non-coding RNA from Brachypodium distachyon (stiff brome), 1178 nucleotides. RefSeq lists it as uncharacterized. The record is from RefSeq and is a predicted model, not a curated record. Lineage: Eukaryota; Viridiplantae; Streptophyta; Magnoliopsida; Poales; Poaceae. The transcript has 2 exons.
CUUGCUUGUGGAAAAUGUGUUCUAGGCUACCAAAGAAGAUUACUUUUGUGCUCGUUGCCAGGAACAUCUCCUCAACUGUAUCAUCCAUGAUUCUCCAUCGACCAGGCUAGCUAGUGGCUUCUAUGGGGCGGAAUUUGACGUGGGCUUGGUUGGUCUGGGCUCAAAUGGAUGCAAAACGAAAACGGUCUGGACUGGAUUUGUAGCAGCGAAAUUUGGUCUGGAUCCGGUGCGGCCUGGUUUGGAUCAAAUGGGUUCAAUCCCCAUCGCCUCGCAUCUCCUCAUCUCCUGCCCGUCGCCAUCCCCAUCGCCGCCUCCCUUCAGCGCCGGGCACCGGCUCUCCUCCCUCCAUCGCCGUCUUUCCCGUGUUUCCUUCAGUUCCCCGUCGCCGUCUCCCUCCUCCGCUGCUUCGCAGCCACCGCGGCACCGCCGACCAACUGCUUAUCCUCUCCUAUCUGACAUCUUCUAACCAACCUACAGACGCAGGGUGCAGGAGAAGGCAAACAUCAAGUUAAGUAAGCAUGUCCAAGUUUUGACCAGGGCCCAGAAAAAAAAGCCUGAUUAACCAAAGCAUCAUCAGAACUUUUUUACAAAUAAAAUAAAAUUUGACUGAUUCUGAAAUAAGUUUGAUUAGGUUGCAAGGGAACCUAUGAUUAACUUCAGCUACAAACUAGUAUUAGUGCGUGAUUAAUUAGCUCAAGUCUAGUACACUGUACAGUACAUAUCUCUGAUUAUAUAGAGCGGGGUAGGUUAUAUAUAUAGACUGAUUCUGAAAUUUUAGUGCCUUGGAAGCGUCAGAUCUUUUUUUCACACAGAGAAGCAAAGCCUAGCUACUACGAGCUGUCCUGAGAUUUAAAGAGUACUCUACGGGCGAUGCUACCUCGCAGUGCUGCCUCCGUUUGCCAUUUGGAAACGUUGGAGAGUUCGUCCAAAUUGGAGUAAUUCCGCGGCGACGCAGGCGACAAAGGGAAGGCUCCUAACCUCGUCGGCAUCAGCAUGGGCCGGGCGUUACAUACCAUGUCAAUUACGCCCUUCAGUGAGCAUCAACGUAUCGCUUUUUAUUAAUUCGUUCCCAGUGACGGUUACGGAACGCCAGUUGCUUCUUGCUUGUGAUCUGUGGCACAGCGCAGUGUACAUGGGAAGAGAUAUGAGAUAUAUAUUUCUUCUCUUGGCCCUAUCAA